GACGAACGCUGGCGGCGUGCUUAACACAUGCAAGUCGAACGGAAAGGCCCUGCUUUUGUGGGGUGCUCGAGUGGCGAACGGGUGAGUAACACGUGAGUAACCUGCCCUUGACUUUGGGAUAACUUCAGGAAACUGGGGCUAAUACCGGAUAGUAGCUCCUGCUGCCUCGUGGGGGUUGGAAAGUUUCGGCGGUUGGGGAUCGUCGCGCGGCUUAACCGCUUGUUGGUGGGGUAGUGGCUUACCAAGGCUUUGACGGGUAGCCGGCCUGAGCGGGUGGCCGGCCACAUUGGGACUGAGGUAGGGCGCAGAAGGCUACGGGAGGCAGCAGGGGGAAGUAUUGCGCAAUGGGGGGAAGCGUGAUGCAGCAACGCCGGGUGCGGGAUGACGGCCUGCGGGGUGUAAACCGCUUUCGCCUGUGACGAAGCGUGAGUGACGGUAAUGGGUAAGGAAGCACCGGCUAACUACGUG
RNAcentral lists this ribosomal RNA (468 nucleotides) under uncultured bacterium. RNAcentral describes it as "partial 16S ribosomal RNA". It matches the Rfam family "Bacterial small subunit ribosomal RNA", at positions 28 to 507 of the family's 1533-position model. The record is from RNAcentral.